AGUGAACGCUGGCGGUAGGCCUAACACAUGCAAGUCGAACGGCAGCACAGUAAGAGCUUGCUCUUACGGGUGGCGAGUGGCGGACGGGUGAGGAAUACAUCGGAAUCUACUUUUUCGUGGGGGAUAACGUAGGGAAACUUACGCUAAUACCGCAUACGACCUACGGGGGAAAGCAGGGGAUCUUCGGACCUUGCGGGAUUGAAUGAGCGGAUGUGGGAUUAGCUGGUUGGGGGGGUAAUGGCCCACCAGGUCGACGAUCCGUAGCUGGUCUGGGUGGCUGAUCAGCGACCCUGGAGCUUGAACACGGUCAAUACUCCUACGGUAGGCCGCAGUGGGGAAUAUUGGACAAUGGUCGCAAGCCUGAUCCAGCCAUACCGAGUGGGUGAAGAAGGCCUUCGGGUUGUAAAGCCCUUUUGUUGGGAAAGAAAAGCAUCAGGUUAAUACCCCGCUGUUCUGACGGUACCCAAUGAAUAAGCACCGGCUAACUUCGUG
RNAcentral lists this ribosomal RNA (492 nucleotides) under uncultured bacterium. RNAcentral describes it as "partial 16S ribosomal RNA". It matches the Rfam family "Bacterial small subunit ribosomal RNA", at positions 29 to 507 of the family's 1533-position model. The record is from RNAcentral.